RNAcentral lists this ribosomal RNA (484 nucleotides) under uncultured bacterium. RNAcentral's name for it is "partial 16S ribosomal RNA". It matches the Rfam family "Bacterial small subunit ribosomal RNA", at positions 30 to 507 of the family's 1533-position model. The record is from RNAcentral.
AUUGAACGCUGGCGGCAGGCCUAACACAUGCAAGUCGAGCGGAUGAAGGGAGCUUGCUCCUGGAUUCAGCGGCGGACGGGUGAGUAAUGCCUAGGAAUCUGCCUGGUAGUGGGGGAUAACGUCCGGAAACGGGCGCUAAUACCGCAUACGUCCUGAGGGAGAAAGUGGGGGAUCUUCGGACCUCACGCUAUCAGAUGAGCCUAGGUCGGAUUAGCUAGUGGGUGGGGUAAAGGCCUACCACGGCGACGAUCCGUAACUGGUCUGAGAGGAUGAUCAGUCACACUGGAACUGAGACACGGUCCAGACUCCUACGGGAGGCAGCAGUGGGGAAUAUUGGACAAUGGGCGAAAGCCUGAUCCAGCCAUGCCGCGUGUGUGAAGAAGGUCUUCGGAUUGUAAAGCACUUUAAGUUGGGAGGAAGGGCAGUAAGUUAAUACCUUGCUGUUUUGACGUUACCAACAGAAUAAGCACCGGCUAACUUCGUG